RNAcentral lists this ribosomal RNA (482 nucleotides) under uncultured Oscillospiraceae bacterium. RNAcentral describes it as "bacterial SSU rRNA". It matches the Rfam family "Bacterial small subunit ribosomal RNA", at positions 8 to 507 of the family's 1533-position model. Lineage: Bacteria; Bacillati; Bacillota; Clostridia; Eubacteriales; Oscillospiraceae. The record is from RNAcentral.
AGAGUUUGAUCCUGGCUCAGGACGAACGCUGGCGGCGCGCCUAACACAUGCAAGUCGAACGGUGAAGAGGAGCUUGCUCCUCGGAUCAGUGGCGGACGGGUGAGUAACACGUGAGCAACCUGCCUUUCAGUGGGGGACAACAGUUGGAAACGACUGCUAAUACCGCAUAACGUGCCAGAGGGGCAUCCUUUUGGUACCAAAGAUUUAUCGCUGAAAGAUGGGCUCGCGUCUGAUUAGAUAGUUGGUGAGGUAACGGCCCACCAAGUCGACGAUCAGUAGCCGGACUGAGAGGCUGAUCGGCCACAUUGGGACUGAGACACGGCCCAGACUCCUACGGGAGGCAGCAGUGGGGAAUAUUGGACAAUGGGGGAAACCCUUAUCCAGCGACGCCGCGUGAGGGAAGAAGGUUUUCGGAUUGUAAACCUCUGUCAGUGGGGACGAUAAUGACGGUACCCACGGAGGAAGCCACGGCUAACUACGUG